AGAGUAACUCCGCCUGUGUUGUUUCAUGGUUUGUAAUGCACACCACAGCCGGUCCCAAGCCCGGACAAAGGAGGAGGGUGUG
Molecule: non-coding RNA, 82 nt
Filed under: unclassified sequences
Source: RNAcentral